This 59-nucleotide transfer RNA is filed under the name Marmota marmota marmota (Alpine marmot). It matches the Rfam family "tRNA", at positions 6 to 65 of the family's 71-position model. Rfam says of the family: Transfer RNA (tRNA) molecules are approximately 80 nucleotides in length. Their secondary structure includes four short double-helical elements and three loops (D, anti-codon, and T loops). Lineage: Eukaryota; Metazoa; Chordata; Mammalia; Rodentia; Sciuridae. The record is from Rfam by way of RNAcentral. RNAcentral also lists the same sequence under 4 other names.
UGUAGCUCAGCGAUAGAGCACUUGUCUAGCAUGUAUGAGGCUCUGGGUUCAACCCAGCA